This 235-nucleotide small RNA is filed under the name Pongo abelii (Sumatran orangutan). RNAcentral's name for it is "processed transcript". Lineage: Eukaryota; Metazoa; Chordata; Mammalia; Primates; Hominidae. The record is from RNAcentral.
AAGGCUCCCAGGCAGCUGGGCUGCUGGUCUUCUCUGGCUUUCUGGAGGCUGGGGCAAAGGCCUGAAAGGGAGAGAAGAUUGGCGCUGGGUGCCGGGGCCCCUUUGGCUCCUCACCCUGACGCAUUCUGCCUUCCUGUCUACUAGGAUGACAAGGAGUAUGUGGGCUUUGCAACCCUUCCCAACCAAGUCCACCGAAAGUCCGUGAAGAAAGGCUUUGACUUUACCCUCAUGGUGG